GAUGAACGCUGGCGGCGUGCCUAAUACAUGCAAGUCGAGCGAACGGACGAGAAGCUUGCUUUUCUGAUGUUAGCGGCGGACGGGUGAGUAACACGUGGAUAACCUACCUAUAAGACUGGGAUAACUUCGGGAAGCCGGAGCUAAUACCGGAUAAUAUUUUGAACCGCAUGGUUCAAAAGUGAAAGACGGUCUUGCUGUCACUUAUAGAUGGAUCCGCGCUGCAUUAGCUAGUUGGUAAGGUAACGGCUUACCAAGGCAACGAUGCAUAGCCGACCUGAGAGGGUGAUCGGCCACACGGGAACUGAGACACGGUCCAGACUCCUACGGGAGGCAGCAGUAGGGAAUCUUCCGCAAUGGGCGAAAGCCUGACGGAGCAACGCCGCGUGAGUGAUGAAGGUCUUCGGAUCGUAAAACUCUGUUAUUAGGGAAGAACAUAUGUGUAAGUAACUGUGCACAUCUUGACGGUACCUAAUCAGAAAGCCACGGCUAACUACGUG
Molecule: ribosomal RNA, 497 nt
Filed under: uncultured bacterium
Lineage: Bacteria
Description: partial 16S ribosomal RNA
Rfam family: Bacterial small subunit ribosomal RNA
Source: RNAcentral